GGCUUUAGUGUUUGAGAUAUAAGCUACACACUGCAUUUUACCCCUAUGUUCUAUUUUCACCCAUGUCGGCCAUGUUUUUUACAAAAUUGAAAAUAAAACACAAACUUUAUUCUAGAUAUCCUAAGGAUCAUUCAGUUUAAGUUUUACUGGAAUUGGUUCAGUAGUUUCAGUGGAAAUGUUUCAAAUAUUUAACACCGGACAGACGACG
RNAcentral lists this long non-coding RNA (208 nucleotides) under Mytilus galloprovincialis (Mediterranean mussel). The record is from RNAcentral. Lineage: Eukaryota; Metazoa; Mollusca; Bivalvia; Mytilida; Mytilidae.